Molecule: ribosomal RNA, 253 nt
Filed under: uncultured bacterium
Lineage: Bacteria
Description: partial 16S ribosomal RNA
Rfam family: Bacterial small subunit ribosomal RNA
Source: RNAcentral
UACGCAGGGGGCUAGCGUUGUUCGGAAUUACUGGGCGUAAAGCGCGCGCAGGCGGUCUUCCAAGUCAGUGGUGAAAGCCUGGAGCUCAACUCCAGAACUGCCAUUGAAACUGUUAGACUUGAGUACGAGAGAGGUGAGUGGAAUUCCCAGUGUAGAUGUGAAAGUCGUAGAUAUUGGGAAGAACGCCAGUGGCGAAGGCGGCUCACUGGCUCGUAACGGACGCUCAGGCGCGACAGCGUGGGGAUCAAACAGG